Molecule: ribosomal RNA, 635 nt
Filed under: uncultured bacterium
Lineage: Bacteria
Description: bacterial SSU rRNA
Rfam family: Bacterial small subunit ribosomal RNA (bases 1-541)
Source: RNAcentral
CCUACGGGAGGCAGCAGUAAGGAAUAUUGGUCAAUGGGCGCAAGCCUGAACCAGCCAUGCCGCGUGCAGGAAGACGGCCCUAUGGGUUGUAAACUGCUUUUGAACAAGAGAAAACCUCGGUACGUGUACCGAGCUGAUAGUAUUGUUAGAAUAAGCAUCGGCUAACUUCGUGCCAGCAGCCGCGGUAAGACGAAGGAUGCAAGCGUUAUCCGGAUUCAUUGGGUUUAAAGGGUGCGUAGGCGGCCUGAUAAGUCAGUGGUGAAAUCUCUCAGCUUAACUGAGAAACUGCCAUUGAUACUGUCGGGCUUGAGUACAGAUGAUGUGGGCGGAAUAUGACAUGUAGUGGUGAAAUACUUAGAUAUGUCAUAGAACACCGAUUGCGAAGGCAGCUCACAAAACUGUAACUGACGCUGAGGCACGAAAGUGCGGGGAUCAAACAGGAUUAGAUACCCUGGUAGUCCGCACCGUAAACGAUGAUUACUCGUUGUUGGNAUAUGACGUCGAGCGACCGAACGACGAAAGAACGAGUAAGUUAAUUACUACCGUUACGGGUUAGGUACGGCCGGCCGACGGUAGGAACGACGAAGAAGUUAGUUAGGACGNGAGAGAGCGACGACGACGACGAGGAGGAGGAG